CUGUCGAACAUCCUCCUCUACGUUGUUUAUGGGAAUUUUCACUUUUCCGGCGGCGUGCGAGUUGGUGGUUGAAGAAAAAAAGUGAUCUGUUUUCAAACAACUUUUCAAGUUUAUCUGCAUCACGUUGCAGUCAGAAGAACCAAUGGAGAGCUCCGAGGGCACAUCGCGCGAUUCACCAGUCAUAAUGUUCCUGGGCCAUCAUUGGACCUGAAUAUUGCUGGAUUGAGCUAGUUCCCAUCAUAGCAACAAUACCUGAGACUUUGGGUCAAGAGCGAGCGUACAACAGUCACUAAAAUGUCCUGCCUGCCCUGUCCUCAGUUAUUUGAAGAUGAACAGGAGACGUUGUACGCCUACAUUCUGGAGUCACAUUAUAGAUCGUUGGCCAUCAGCGGGGGUGCCUUGAAACGUUGGCUCCACCAAUGGAAUGGCCAAUCUUGUGGCCAUAAGAUCAAGAUUCCAAUGCCAGACCACUUUUUUGAGUCCUCCGUCCAAGCAAGACUCAAAACAUUGACAGUGGACUAUAAAAUUUUCGGAAUAUUAAUUUUUAACGUAUUCGCGCCGCAUUUACGUUUAAAUUUAAAACUGUUGUCACUAUCGACUCUGGUACUCAUUUAUUAAAAAAACGGUCAGGAUUUU
Long non-coding RNA from Ostrinia nubilalis (European corn borer), 636 nucleotides. RefSeq lists it as uncharacterized. The transcript has 5 exons. NCBI's taxonomy places the organism in Eukaryota, Metazoa, Arthropoda, Insecta, Lepidoptera, Crambidae. The record is from RefSeq and is a predicted model, not a curated record.